RNAcentral lists this ribosomal RNA (816 nucleotides) under uncultured bacterium. RNAcentral describes it as "bacterial SSU rRNA". It matches the Rfam family "Bacterial small subunit ribosomal RNA", at positions 8 to 796 of the family's 1533-position model. The record is from RNAcentral.
AGAGUUUGAUCCUGGCUCAGAAUGAACGCUGGCGGCGUGCUUAACACAUGCAAGUCGCACGAGAAUUCUUCUGCUUGCAGAAGAUAGUAAAGUGGCGCACGGGUGAGUAACGCGUGGGUAAUCUACCUCCGAAUCGGGGAUAACAUUGCGAAAGCGGUGCUAAUACCGGAUAACAUCAUCCUUUCCUUGGAAAUGAUGAUCAAAGGUGGCCUCUACAUGUAAGCUAUCGUUUGGAGAUGAGCCCGCGUACCAUUAGCUAGUUGGUAGGGUAAAAGCCUACCAAGGCGACGAUGGUUAGCUGGUCUGAGAGGAUGAUCAGCCACACUGGAACUGACACACGGUCCAGACUCCUACGGGAGGCAGCAGUGAGGAAUUUUGCGCAAUGGGGGCAACCCUGACGCAGCAACGCCGCGUGAGUGAUGAAGGCUUUCGGGUCGUAAAGCUCUGUCAAGUGGGAAGAACCUGUUUUGUGCCAAUACCACGAAACACUGACGGUACCACUGAAGGAAGCACCGGCUAACUCCGUGCCAGCAGCCGCGGUAAUACGGGGGGUGCUAGCGUUAUUCGGAAUCAUUGGGCGUAAAGGGCGCGUAGGCGGUCCUGUAAGUCAGAUGUGAAAUCCUUUCGCUUAACGGAAGAAGUGCAUUUGAAACUGCAGGACUUGAGUAUGGGAGAGGGAAGUGGAAUUCCUGGUGUAGAGGUGAAAUUCGUAGAUAUCAGGAGGAACACCCGUGGCGAAGGCGACUUCCUGGACCAAUACUGACGCUGAGGCGCGAAGGCGUGGGGAGCAAACAGGAUUAGAUACCCUGGUAGUCC